This 268-nucleotide ribosomal RNA is filed under the name uncultured bacterium. RNAcentral describes it as "partial 16S ribosomal RNA". The record is from RNAcentral.
CUGCUGCCUCCCGUAGGAGUUUGGACCGUGUCUCAGUUCCAAUGUGGGGGACCUUCCUCUCAGAACCCCUACUGAUCGUCGCCCCGGUGGGCCGUUACCCCGCCGGCAAGCUAAUCAGACGCAUCCCCAUCCUUUACCGGCCGAAGCCUUUGGUCAUGAAAAUAUGCAUCAACAUGACAACAUACGGUAUUAAUCCGCCUUUCGACGGGCUGUCCCAUAGUAAAGGGCAGGUUGGAUACGCGUUACCCACCCGUGCGCCGGUCGCCAU